RNAcentral lists this ribosomal RNA (916 nucleotides) under uncultured bacterium. RNAcentral describes it as "bacterial SSU rRNA". It matches the Rfam family "Bacterial small subunit ribosomal RNA", at positions 246 to 1155 of the family's 1533-position model. The record is from RNAcentral.
UUGUUGGUAAGGUAAAAGCUUACCAAGGCUUCGAUCAGUAGCUGGUCUGAGAGGACGGCCAGCCACACUGGGACUGAGACACGGCCCAGACUCCUACGGGAGGCAGCAGUGGGGAAUUUUGGACAAUGGGGGCAACCCUGAUCCAGCCAUGCCGCGUGAGUGAAGAAGGCCUUCGGGUUGUAAAGCUCUUUCAGCCGGAACGAAACGGUUACGGUUAAUACCCGUGACUACUGACGGUACCGGAAGAAGAAGCACCGGCUAACUACGUGCCAGCAGCCGCGGUAAUACGUAGGGUGCGAGCGUUAAUCGGAAUUACUGGGCGUAAAGCGUGCGCAGGUGGUUUUGUAAGUCAGAUGUGAAAGCCCCGGGCUCAACCUGGGAACUGCGUUUGAAACUACAAGACUAGAGUGUGGCAGAGGGGGGUGGAAUUCCGCGUGUAGCAGUGAAAUGCGUAGAGAUGUGGAGGAACACCGAUGGCGAAGGCAGCCCCCUGGGUCAGCACUGACGCUCAGGCACGAAAGCAUGGGGAGCAAACAGGAUUAGAUACCCUGGUAGUCCAUGCCCUAAACGAUGUCAACUAGUUGUCGGGCCUUUACGGGCUUGGUAACGUAGCUAACGCGUGAAGUUGACCGCCUGGGGAGUACGAUCGCAAGAUUAAAACUCAAAUGAAUUGACGGGGACCCGCACAAGCGGUGGAUUAUGUGGAUUAAUUCGAUGCAACGCGAAAAACCUUACCUACCCUUGACAUGUAUCGAAGCCCGCAGAAAAGCGGGGGUGCCCGAAAGGGAACGAUAACACAGGUGCUGCAUGGCUGUCGUCAGCUCGUGUCGUGAGAUGUUGGGUUAAGUCCCGCAACGAGCGCAACCCUUGUCAUUAAUUGCCAUCAUUUAGUUGGGCACUUUAAUGAGACUGCCGG